Molecule: small nucleolar RNA, 180 nt
Filed under: Candida tropicalis MYA-3404
Lineage: Eukaryota; Fungi; Ascomycota; Pichiomycetes; Serinales; Debaryomycetaceae
Description: Small nucleolar RNA snR32
Rfam family: Small nucleolar RNA snR32
Source: Rfam by way of RNAcentral
AACAUCAAUCGCAGAUUCACCCUUCGCUAUAAAGAUUGGCUUUGCUUUUCGUCUAUGGGAAGCCAAUUUGGAGGUUUACAAGUGGAUAUAAGCGUAGAUUAACCUUAAAUGGAGCACGUUUCUGGGCGCCUGGUGUUGACUAAAAUAAUGGAACACUGGGAAUCAGUUGUGACUACAAUU